Molecule: ribosomal RNA, 503 nt
Filed under: uncultured bacterium
Lineage: Bacteria
Description: partial 16S ribosomal RNA
Rfam family: Bacterial small subunit ribosomal RNA
Source: RNAcentral
GAUGAACGCUAGCGGCAGGCCUAACACAUGCAAGUCGAGGGGUAGCAGGAUUAAGCUUGCUUAGUUGCUGACGACCGGCGCACAGGUGCGUAACGCGUAUGCAACCUACCUUAUACUGGGGUAUAGCCCGGAGAAAUUCGGAUUAAUCCCCCAUAGUACUAAUGAAUCGCAUGGUUUAUUAGUUAAAGCAUUGCGGUAUAAGAUGGGCAUGCGUCCUAUUAGCUAGAUGGUGAGGUAACGGCUCACCAUGGCUACGAUAGGUAGGGGGCCUGGGAGGGUGGUCCCCCACACUGGUACUGAGACACGGACCAGGCUCCUACGGGAGGCAGCAGUGAGGAAUAUUGGUCAAUGGGCGCAAGCCUGAACCAGCCAUGCCGCGUGCAGGAAGAAUGCCCCAUGGGUUGUAAACUGCUUUUAUUUGGGAAUAAACCUCUUUACGUGUAGAGAGCUGAAGGUACCAAAUGAAUAAGCACCGGCUAACUCCGUGCCAGCCGCCGCGGUAA